CCUACGGGCGGCAGCAGUGGGGAAUAUUGCGCAAUGGGCGAAAGCCUGACGCAGCGACGCCGCGUGAGGGAUGAAGGUCUUCGGAUCGUAAACCUCUGUCAGCAGGGAAGAACGGUCACUGUGCUAAUCAGCAGUGAAUUGACGGUACCUGCAAAGGAAGGACCGGCUAACUCCGUGCCAGCAGCCGCCGUAAUACGGAGGGUGCGAGCGUUAAUCGGAAUUACUGGGCGUAAAGCGCUCGUAGGCGGUAUGUCAAGUCAAGGGUGAAAUCCCCGCGCUCAACGUGGGAACCGCCUUUGAAACUGGCAAACUGGAGUGUGUGAGAGGAUAGUGGAAUUCCAGGUGUAGGAGUGAAAUGCGUAGAUAUCUGGAGGAACAUCAGUGGCGAAGGCGACUAUCUGGCACAUAACUGACGCUGAGGAGCGAAAGCGUGGGUAGCAAACAGGAUUAGAUACCCCUGUAGUC
This 465-nucleotide ribosomal RNA is filed under the name uncultured bacterium. RNAcentral's name for it is "partial 16S ribosomal RNA". It matches the Rfam family "Bacterial small subunit ribosomal RNA", at positions 338 to 795 of the family's 1533-position model. The record is from RNAcentral.